Molecule: non-coding RNA, 107 nt
Organism: Caerostris darwini
Lineage: Eukaryota; Metazoa; Arthropoda; Arachnida; Araneae; Araneidae
Source: the annotation of a GenBank genome assembly
AACGGCCGUACCAUGCUGAAUAUACCGGUUCUCGUUAGAUCACCGAAGUCAAGCAUCAUUGGGCGCGGUCAGUACUUGGGUGGGUGACCACCUGGGAACACCGCGUU